Molecule: ribosomal RNA, 210 nt
Filed under: uncultured bacterium
Lineage: Bacteria
Description: partial 16S ribosomal RNA
Rfam family: Bacterial small subunit ribosomal RNA
Source: RNAcentral
GACGUAGGGUGCAAGCGUUGUCCGGAUUUACUGGGCGUAAAGAGCGCGUAGGCGGCUCGUUAAGUGUGAAGUGAAAUCUCCAGGGCUCAACCCGGAAACUGCUUCGCAUACUGGCGAGCUUGAGGAAUGCAGAGGUUAGUGGAAUUCCUGGUGUAGCGGUGAAAUGCGUUGAUAUCAGGAGGAACACCCCAUGGGCGGAAAGGCAGCUAA